UUGGCGCGUGACACGUGACUAUCUUUGGCGCGUCUGCUAAAUAGGUUAAUAACCCUCUGAUGCUGAGUGAGCUUCUCUUUCAUUAUGACCCGGGGCGGACUUACCAAAGACAGCACCAGGACAUUUCACGUUGACCUAAUGGUCAAUCUGGAGUGCCACCGUGAAUCUGGACCAAUCGCCCACCACCAAGCGUAAAAGGCAGUCCAUUGAGUCCUGAGUGUCUUCUGGAUGGACCUGAUUGGGGUCAGCAGAUCCUCCACUGUGAACAUCUGGAGGGCCCUGAUCCGCAUCAGCAGAUCCUCCACUGGGAACAUAUGGAGGAACCUGAUCCACACUGGCGGAUCCUCCACUAGGAACGUCUGGAGGGACCUGAUCCACACCAGCAGAUCCUCCACUAGGUACGUCAGGAGGGACCUGAUCCACACCAGCAGAUCCUCCACAAGGUACGUCAGGAGGGACCUGUUCCACACCAGCAGAUCCUCCACGAGGUACAUCUGGAGGGACCUGUUUCACACUGGCAGGUUCCACGUGGAGGACGCUUCCACAGAUGUGCCUGAGUUUUAAUUGAAGUGGGAGCUGGUUUGCCAGCUCCUCAAUAGUGCCUGCAUAGAAAUGUACAGGCACUAUGUACUCAUCCAUAUGGCUAUCCAGGAGGAUGAGCUUGUCGUGCAUCUCUGACACUCCAACGAUCUCAAGAACUGCCUCCUGGAUAUCCCUAUCAAUAAGCUGAAAAACAAAAAAAAAUUUAGAAAAGGUGACUGAGCUCAAUGAUGUCCCCGACAUAGAGCUCGUUAAGUGCUUCUUCCCGCCACAGUGAGACAUCGUGUACUACGGAGCCACAUUUCAUCCGCAGGUCCAGGAUCGGUAUGUGAGUGCGAGUCAUUCUAGGCACUUCAACCUGGAAAAUGACAAAAAGGUCGUGAAGGAGGACAGAGGGCCUCCCUUGCAGCUCUUUUAGCCUCCUCACUUAUGGCUAGCGGAGCCGUCCUAAAUUUGAUGGUGCCUUUAUUUACAAAUAAACAUCGGCGGCCAUAUUUGUUUGAGAUGGUUACAUUUUUUACAAUAUAUGAGUGUCCCUCUUCAAAUUCAGGGUCACUGCCGUUUUUUUAUGGACAGAUAAACUGCAUCACCAUCCGUAAGGGCACAUAAAGAUGUGACUUUGUAGGUGUCAACAAUUAUUUUGUUUUCAUGUUUAAUAAAUGUCACAGCCUUUUGGCUACUGUGCACUUUAACACAGGUGAUGUGCAGUGGUGGUGGGCGGCUGUACGGUGUUGCCAUCCUAAGAAUAAGAAAAAAAGGUUACUCUGUAUUAGUUGUAAAUAUUAUGUAGAAUAAAUUAUUAUUUCUUUUUAACUCAAUUCAUCAAUUAAACAUAUCAAUUAAUCU
Molecule: long non-coding RNA, 1386 nt
Organism: Danio rerio (zebrafish)
Lineage: Eukaryota; Metazoa; Chordata; Actinopteri; Cypriniformes; Danionidae
Source: RefSeq, marked validated